This 203-nucleotide ribosomal RNA is filed under the name uncultured Anoxybacillus sp. RNAcentral describes it as "partial 16S ribosomal RNA". It matches the Rfam family "Bacterial small subunit ribosomal RNA", at positions 1180 to 1382 of the family's 1533-position model. Lineage: Bacteria; Bacillati; Bacillota; Bacilli; Caryophanales; Anoxybacillaceae. The record is from RNAcentral.
UGACGUCAAAUCAUCAUGCCCUUAUGACCUGGGCUACACACGUGCUACAAUGGGCGGUACAAAGGGUCGCGAACCCGCGAGGGGGAGCCAAUCCCAAAAAGCCGCUCUCAGUUCGGAUUGCAGGCUGCAACUCGCCUGCAUGAAGCCGGAAUCGCUAGUAAUCGCGGAUCCAGCAUGCCGCGGUGAAUACGUUCCCGGGCCUU